RNAcentral lists this transfer RNA (73 nucleotides) under Thalassospira xiamenensis. Its description in RNAcentral is "tRNA_Thr_TGT". It matches the Rfam family "tRNA". From Rfam's summary of the family: Transfer RNA (tRNA) molecules are approximately 80 nucleotides in length. Their secondary structure includes four short double-helical elements and three loops (D, anti-codon, and T loops). Further hydrogen bonds mediate the characteristic L-shaped molecular structure. tRNAs have two regions of fundamental functional importance: the anti-codon, which is responsible for specific mRNA codon recognition, and the 3' end, to which the tRNAs corresponding amino acid is attached (by aminoacyl-tRNA synthetases). tRNAs cope with the degeneracy of the genetic code in two manners: having more than one tRNA (with a specific anti-codon) for a particular amino acid; and 'wobble' base-pairing, i.e. permitting non-standard base-pairing at the 3rd anti-codon position. Lineage: Bacteria; Pseudomonadati; Pseudomonadota; Alphaproteobacteria; Rhodospirillales; Thalassospiraceae. The record is from RNAcentral.
GCCGGAAUAGCUCAGCUGGUAGAGCAACUGAUUUGUAAUCAGAAGGUCGGGGGUUCAAGUCCCUCUUCCGGCA